AGAUGAGCACGUGUGCGUGGGGGCUGGUCCCAGGAGUCCCCUGCAGAUCCAGAUGUCCUGGCUCCACACUCUGCAGCCCUGACGAGGGCAAGAGGGCGGCCCAGGCCUGCACCCCUCAGUCCUCGAGGGAUGAGGUGCCUGCACUCUCUCAGGGACCCCAUUUUGAAAGCACUUUAAGGCCAGAUCCCCAGGUCUCGGGAGCUUCUGAGCGGGCUCCUGAGCACCCGGGGAAGCUUCCUCUUGCCCUGGCCUCUGAGGGCCGGCAACACAGAAAACAGAAAACCCCUGAAUUUCAAGGUUUACACAGCCAGCAUCCCAUAAAUGUCACCUGCCACCCUCCCCAGCACACACUUGGAGGGCGGAGGUUACAGUGGAACACGACAUCACUUCUUCCGGAGGCUCCAGUGGAUUCGUCAAGAUGGUGAAAUGGGGUCCCACAGUGAUGUGACAGCUGCCCAAGCCAGUUCAGACUUGAACCCUUGACUUCUAGGCUGAUGCUGGAGAGGUUUGGAGGGCCCUCUGGAUGGAGCUGCUCCUCAGGGGAGACCAAUCAAUCCCUGAGCUCACCGAAUUCACAGCAUUUGAACUCAGCUUACAGGGAGCCCUCCAGAGUGAUGGCUGACAGUAAUCAGUCCAAUGGGGGAGCCAAGGUACCAAUAUACUCAGGAUAUAGAUACAGGUAAAGACAGCAGAGUAUAGACGAAGUGAAUAUUGAAGGGCUAUGACACAGAGGAAGGGUAAAUAGAAUUUGGGUAGGGGAGUCUUGGCAGACUGCAUGGAAGAGUCUAG
RNAcentral lists this long non-coding RNA (789 nucleotides) under Equus caballus (horse). RNAcentral describes it as "lncRNA (ENSECAG00000031410.2)". The record is from RNAcentral. Lineage: Eukaryota; Metazoa; Chordata; Mammalia; Perissodactyla; Equidae.